This is a long non-coding RNA of Nerophis ophidion (straightnose pipefish), 456 nucleotides long. RefSeq lists it as uncharacterized. The record is from RefSeq and is a predicted model, not a curated record. NCBI's taxonomy places the organism in Eukaryota, Metazoa, Chordata, Actinopteri, Syngnathiformes, Syngnathidae. The transcript is spliced from 2 exons.
CUCCUCCUCUCCUCCUCCUCACGCUGCUCUCUCCUCGCGGUCUCACCUUCGCCCCCCCCCCCCCUUUUUCUGCCUUCCUCCCAGCUCCCAGCCCACCCAGCACCGCCGCUCCAUGCGCGCAUGCCAGCGCCCACUUGCAUUCGCGCGCCUUUCUCUGCAGCCGAGAUUGCUUGACAAAUAAGGGGUGGAGGGGAAAAAGUUUGUUAUUGAUUUGAUUCUUCCUCACUUGUCCAAAAGUGCACGUAAAUGUAAUUCAUGGGUUAUUUCUGUGUGUGCACGCAAAAACAAUCAAUUUCCCUAGAUUUUGCUUUUUUCUUCUUUUUUUUUUUUUGCUGCAAAAAAACAAAUUAAGUGCAUGCAACACUUUGCACCUGCAAGGAAAAGAAAGAAAAAAAAAAACACCGUGCAUGUGCAAGCCAAAAUUCCAUAUUUGUGUACAUUAAAAUGUGAUAUAAU